GAUGAACGCUGGCGGCGUGCCUAAUACAUGCAAGUCGAGCGAACGGACGAGAAGCUUGCUUCUCUGAUGUUAGCGGCGGACGGGUGAGUAACACGUGGAUAACCUACCUAUAAGACUGGGAUAACUUCGGGAAACCGGAGCUAAUACCGGAUGAUAUUUUGAACCGCAUGGUUCAAAAGUGAAAGACGGCCUCGCUGUCACUUAUAGAUGGAUCCGCGCUGCAUUAGCUAGUUGGUAAGGUAACGGCUUACCAAGGCAACGAUGCAUAGCCGACCUGAGAGGGUGAUCGGCCACACUGGAACUGAGACACGGUCCAGACUCCUACGGGAGGCAGCAGUAGGGAAUCUUCCGCAAUGGGCGAAAGCCUGACGGAGCAACGCCGCGUGAGUGAUGAAGGUCUUCGGAUCGUAAAACUCUGUUAUUAGGGAAGAACAUAUGUGUAAGUAACUGUGCACAUCUUGACGGUACCUAAUCAGAAAGCCACGGCUAACUACGUG
Molecule: ribosomal RNA, 497 nt
Filed under: uncultured bacterium
Lineage: Bacteria
Description: partial 16S ribosomal RNA
Rfam family: Bacterial small subunit ribosomal RNA
Source: RNAcentral